GACGAACGCUGGCGGCGUGCUUAACACAUGCAAGUCGAACGGAAAGGCCCCUUUGGGGGUCCUCGAGUGGCGAACGGGUGAGUAACACGUGAGUAACCUGCCCUUGACUUCGGGAUAACUUCAGGAAACUGGGGCUAAUACCGGAUAGGAAUCCUUGCUGCAUGGUGGGGGUUGGAAGGCUCGGCGGGUUUGGGUGGAAUGGCCGCGUGUCGGCUUGGUGGUGGGGUAGUGGGUUUCCAAGGCCUUGGCGGGUUGCCGGGCUGGGGGGGCGGACGGCCACAUUGGGACUGAGGUACGGCCCAGACUCCUACGGGAGGCAGCAGUGGGGAAUAUUGCACAAUGGGCGGGAGCCUGAUGCAGCAACGCCGCGUGCGGGAUGACGGCCUUCGGGUUGUAAACCGCUUUCAGCAGGGGCGAAGCUUGUGGUGACGGUACCUGCAGAAGAAGCACCGGCUAACUACGUG
RNAcentral lists this ribosomal RNA (464 nucleotides) under uncultured bacterium. Its description in RNAcentral is "partial 16S ribosomal RNA". It matches the Rfam family "Bacterial small subunit ribosomal RNA", at positions 28 to 507 of the family's 1533-position model. The record is from RNAcentral.